GAGGGUCAGAGAUUGCUACCAUGCCUUCUUUGAGUGGAAGAGAGGCUAUGAGAGAGUAAGGAAGUGAGCUGGGAGUGUGAUGCUUGAGGAGAGAUUCAGAGAUCGAGUUCUUAAGGGUGAGUGGUGAGGGAUGAUAAGUGUCAUGUUUAUUUUGAGAGGAUGAUAAGCUGUGUUUUCAAUAUGAGAGGAGAAAGAAUAUUCUGCCCUUGUCAUGGUGAGAGUGAAAAUAUCCCACGAUG
Molecule: long non-coding RNA, 239 nt
Filed under: Glycine max (soybean)
Lineage: Eukaryota; Viridiplantae; Streptophyta; Magnoliopsida; Fabales; Fabaceae
Description: long non-coding RNA (GMAX_LNC004299)
Source: RNAcentral